Leptomonas pyrrhocoris is the source of this 83-nucleotide small nucleolar RNA. It matches the Rfam family "Trypanosomatid small nucleolar RNA 2". Lineage: Eukaryota; Euglenozoa; Kinetoplastea; Trypanosomatida; Trypanosomatidae. The record is from Rfam.
GUGAAUGAUGAUGCGUGUAUUCUGCAAUGCUGACCUGUCUGACGAGAAGCAAUACUACUACUAUGACUAUUGGCAUCUGACAC